CUUCCUCUAUAUUUUUGGAUGUGGGACACCUCCAUAGCAUGACUGGUGAGCAGAGUAGGUCCACGCCUGGGAUCUGAAUGCAUGACUCUGGGCGGCUGAAGCAGGAUGGCCUUCACGAUGUCUCCUGAGCACAGAAGUCUAGUGUCCAUGAUGUGUGGGGGUUCUAAAAGACUCAAAGUGAGUUCAAGAUUUUCCUCUCACCAUUAAAAGGAAAUGUUGCUGACUCUGUCUGUGAACAGUAUGCUGUGUUGUUCUAGACCAUAGGCCAUAUUUGGUGCUUUUUGUUCUUACAAAUAUGGGCUACAGUACACUAAACAUCCAUACUAUUUCCUCAAGAUCAAAUUGCGUCCCAUGAUUGGCAUCUGCCUGACGUUGCCUAGAGAUGAGAAUUCAGUCUGUGCCUUUGAAACGUGUUUCUCUCACUAUGAAGCCAACUGGCCCACGUGGGAUUUGGCUCUACAAGUCUGCCUCAUUAACAGCUAAUGAGCAGAGCUCAAUGCUAAACAACAGGGCGAUUCCUGCUUUGAUUAUUCUAGGUUCAAGGUGGUGGCACUGGCCUGGAGACUGAAAACGGCUUGCAGAAAAUUGAAACACACUCUGUAAUAAUAUAAACACAAACUGC
This is a long non-coding RNA of Equus quagga, 622 nucleotides long. RefSeq lists it as uncharacterized. The transcript has 3 exons. Lineage: Eukaryota; Metazoa; Chordata; Mammalia; Perissodactyla; Equidae. The record is from RefSeq and is a predicted model, not a curated record.